CCUACGGGGGGCAGCAGUGGGGAAUAUUGGACAAUGGGCGAAAGCCUGAUCCAGCCAUGCCGCGUGUGUGAAGAAGGCCUUCGGGUUGUAAAGCACUUUCAGUGGGGAAGAAAGCCUUGGGGCUAAUACCCUCGAGGAAGGACAUCACCCACAGAAGAAGCACCGGCUAACUCCGUGCCAGCAGCCGCGGUAAUACGGAGGGUGCGAGCGUUAAUCGGAAUUACUGGGCGUAAAGCGCGCGUAGGCGGUCUGAUAAGCCGGUUGUGAAAGCCCCGGGCUCAACCUGGGAACGGCAUCCGGAACUGUCAGGCUAGAGGGCAGGAGAGGAAAGUAGAAUUCCCGGUGUAGCGGUGAAAUGCGUAGAGAUCGGGAGGAAUACCAGUGGCGAAGGCGGCCUUCUGGACUGACACUGACGCUGAGGUGCGAAAGCGUGGGUAGCAAACAGGAUUAGAUACCCGUGUAGUC
This 465-nucleotide ribosomal RNA is filed under the name Vreelandella stevensii. Its description in RNAcentral is "partial 16S ribosomal RNA". It matches the Rfam family "Bacterial small subunit ribosomal RNA", at positions 338 to 795 of the family's 1533-position model. Lineage: Bacteria; Pseudomonadati; Pseudomonadota; Gammaproteobacteria; Oceanospirillales; Halomonadaceae. The record is from RNAcentral.